CUAUAAAAAGGAGAAGUGAUGUACAAGAUGGUAAUUUUGCCACAUGUAUCAAUUUUAAAACAACAUGUACAAGACCAUUGUUCUUCAAAGUUUUAAGACACUGUAGGGUUAAUCUUGGGAUUUCACAUGGAAUUCUAAUAAAAGCGUGUAAUAAUUUGAGGAUCAAACUGGCGUCUCUUGAUUUCCCCUGAAUUGGUGAUUCGCCGUUUAUCUCUUGAAACCCUACAGUAGUAUAUCUGCUUAAUGCUUUCAUCGCCAUUUCCUCCUUCCAUUCCAAUUUAAAACUCCUGAUGAUGUUUGAAGCCGAGAAGAAACAAGAAACGGGGACGACGAUGACGAUGUGCACUCAGAUAAUGGUUCUAGAAAAUGUGAUCUCUAAAUGGGUAUGCCACUUCUGAAAUAAUGAUUUACUUAUAUGUGUACAACUAUGCUAUUGUUUAUAAGAGGACAAGUCGGCCUACAAGCCCUUUAACAAAGGGGCAGUGAUCUGCAAAAGAGGAUGAAAUAUUAUGUAAAGUUAUUCAGCAGCUCAAUGGCUGGAACUAAAAAAAUAGAUCAUAGAAAUUCUGAAGCUUGGGUUUUUCUCAUCUUAUAUCUUUAACUUGGAUUUUCACUUUCCUUUCUUCCAAUGGCUGCCUAAAGCAGAGUGAGUUCUUUUCUUUGAUACUUUUACUGGUUAUUGUAAACAUCCGUUUUUGUCAGACAAUGAAUUUUGUUUUCGUAUGCAAAUUAGGUUUUUUUUGGAGUUGUGUUGUGUUUGUUUGGAUCCUAGGGUGGGUCAAAUUGGAUAGUAUUUGGUUUCAUUUAUUUAAAACAGGAAGAAAAUUUAUGGAUGGCCACAACUGGGGAUACCGCUGUUGCAACAUUCAUCAAUAUGCUCAUUUUUUAGGCUAAAGAGUGUGGAUGAGGGUAGUCCCUUGUGGAUAAUCUGCCACGUAGGCGUUCACAUCAGCGGGUAUGGGGGAUGAGCCUAAAGGGAUGGGCCUAGGGUGUGGGGAUGACGAGCCCAAGGGGGCGGUUUUGCUUGUCCAAGCCGGAGGUCGAUGGGCAUGGGACGAGCCCCACACUCUGCAGCCUUAUAGCAUUUGUUGUUCUCCGGAUUCAACCUGUGAAUGUCAGAGUAUAAUUCCAAAGUGGUGUCUCAAGGGUUUACGAUAUUGCAAUGGAGGCAGUAUCUGAGAUCCCGAGCUCUGUUCACCCUCUUAUUUCUUUCUUGUUGGUUGAGUGGGAAAGCAAGGAGGUUGGGUGGUUUGGGUAAUGGGUCAAAACUGGUAACUUUUUGGUAUAAUUUCAGGAUUUUAUUGUGAACUCGAAAGCAAUACAGUUUUUUAUGUCUCAAUAGCAGCCCGUUGUACCGAGCCGGAAGUUUUGAUCUUUCUUAACCGUGGCUAUGGCAUGGGAUGCAAUGUCUCUUUUACACCUUACGGGUUGCAUUAAGGCUUGUGAAGGCAGGAUCUGCUGUUUAUGGUAUUGAUGGUCAUGGGAAGUCUUCUUGGAUUCAGGGCUAUAUCCCCUCUUUUGAUGAUAUGCUCUAUUAAUGCAACAGAGAAGUCACAUUAUAUAUUCUUGGCAUUCAUCCGCUUCAGUAUAAGGUUAUCAGGCUGUUUUGGGUUUAGUGGUGCAUCAGGAGACGAUCGAUGGUUGGGCUUGCAAGGUGGAAAGCGCCCCUGUGUGGAUCAACCAUCAGAAACUGCUGAUGAUGAUGCUGCCUUUGAAUACACAAAUGGGCUGGACCCAGAGUACCCGGUAUCACUUCUAAAGUGGAGGAUCCAUCAGCUGGUGCCAAAGUUGAAAAUCAUCUGUCGCCAGCAGAUUCUUAAAUUUACGGAUCCUUUGGGUUGCAAGGAUACUUAUUAAUAUUUCAAAUGUUUUGGUCAAAUUCGGGAUCAUCACUUGGUCAUAUAUUCAUGCCCUAUAUUAUCGACUCCGCCGCAACGCGCGGGUCUCCCACUAGUGUUCAAUAAUGUUUCUAAAAAGACACGUACUGAAGAUUAAUUUAUAUACCUUGAGAUUUAAGUUUUCAACGAGCACAUUGACAUGGAGU
This 2044-nucleotide long non-coding RNA is filed under the name Helianthus annuus (common sunflower). Lineage: Eukaryota; Viridiplantae; Streptophyta; Magnoliopsida; Asterales; Asteraceae. The record is from RNAcentral.